AACCGAGUCUUAAUUGGGCGUUAAGUUGCAGGGUAUAGACCCGAAACCCGGUGAUCUAGCCAUGGGCAGGUUGAAGGUUGGGUAACACUAACUGGAGGACCGAACCGACUAAUGUUGAAAAAUUAGCGGAUGACCUGUGGCUGGGGGUGAAAGGCCAAUCAAACCGGGAGAUAGCUGGUUCUCCCCGAAAGCUAUUUAGGUAGCGCCUCGUGAAUUCAUCUCCGGGGGUAGAGCACUGUUUCGGCUAGGGGGCCAUCCCGGCUUACCAACCCGAUGCAAACUGCGAAUACCGGAGAAUGUUAUCACGGGAGACACACGGCGGGUGCUAACGUCCGUCGUGAAGAGGGAAACAACCCAGACCGCCAGCUAAGGUCCCAAAGUCAUGGUUAAGUGGGAAACGAUGUGGGAAGGCCCAGACAGCCAGGAUGUUGGCUUAGAAGCAGCCAUCAUUUAAAGAAAGCGUAAUAGCUCACUGGUCGAGUCGGCCUGCGCGGAAGAUGUAACGGGGCUAAACCAUGCACCGAAGCUGCGGCAGCGACACUGUGUGUUGUUGGGUAGGGGAGCGUUCUGUAAGCCUGUGAAGGUGUGUCGUGAGGCAUGCUGGAGGUAUCAGAAGUGCGAAUGCUGACAUAAGUAACGAUAAAGCGGGUGAAAAGCCCGCUCGCCGGAAGACCAAGGGUUCCUGUCCAACGUUAAUCGGGGCAGGGUGAGUCGACCCCUAAGGCGAGGCCGAAAGGCGUAGUCGAUGGGAAACGGGUUAAUAUUCCCGUACUUGGUGUUACUGCGAAGGGGGGACGGAGAAGGCUAUGUUGGCCGGGCGACGGUUGUCCCGGUUUAAGCGUGUAGGUGUGUGUUCCAGGUAAAUCCGGUUCACUUUAACACUGAGGCGUGACGACGAGGCACUACGGUGCUGAAGCAACAAAUGCCCUGCUUCCAGGAAAAGCCUCUAAGCAUCAGGUAACAUCAAAUCGUACCCCAAACCGACACAGGUGGUCAGGUAGAGAAUACCAAGGCGCUUGAGAGAACUCGGGUGAAGGAACUAGGCAAAAUGGUGCCGUAACUUCGGGAGAAGGCACGCUGACACGUAGGUGAAGUGAUUUACUCAUGGAGCUGAAGUCAGUCGAAGAUACCAGCUGGCUGCAACUGUUUAUUAAAAACACAGCACUGUGCAAACACGAAAGUGGACGUAUACGGUGUGACGCCUGCCCGGUGCCGGAAGGUUAAUUGAUGGGGUCAGCGCAAGCGAAGCUCCUGAUCGAAGCCCCGGUAAACGGCGGCCGUAACUAUAACGGUCCUAAGGUAGCGAAAUUCCUUGUCGGGUAAGUUCCGACCUGCACGAAUGGCGUAAUGAUGGCCAGGCUGUCUCCACCCGAGACUCAGUGAAAUUGAACUCGCUGUGAAGAUGCAGUGUACCCGCGGCAAGACGGAAAGACCCCGUGAACCUUUACUAUAGCUUGACACUGAACAUUGAGCCUUGAUGUGUAGGAUAGGUGGGAGGCUUUGAAGCGUGG
RNAcentral lists this ribosomal RNA (1511 nucleotides) under Salmonella enterica subsp. enterica serovar Stanley. RNAcentral's name for it is "partial 23S ribosomal RNA". It matches the Rfam family "Bacterial large subunit ribosomal RNA", at positions 675 to 2167 of the family's 2925-position model. Lineage: Bacteria; Pseudomonadati; Pseudomonadota; Gammaproteobacteria; Enterobacterales; Enterobacteriaceae. The record is from RNAcentral.